UGGAUUGUUUUCUUGCUGGCAGCUUCUGGUAAAUGUGGAAAACAAAAUCAGUGGUUAUGUAAUGCCUGGAGAGGAAAGAGAGCCUGCUUUGAACUGACAACAGCCUUGUCAGCUUGAAUGCUGAAGCUAGAAAUAUCCUGUCAGAAAUAUCAUCUUUAACAUUGGAGCCCUUCGCUCUGGGAAGGGGAGGAACCAGACACUUUGGCAUACAACCGCCGUGCAAUGGUGCAGGACCACUGGCAACAGAAGAUAUCGGACUAGAGAAGAGACCUAAAAGACAACGUUGGGCAGAUACCUGAGAAUCAAGAAGGGCAUACAAAGUUGGAGAUGAAACAUCUAUGUCUAAACCUCAUCUUACUGGAGUUACUGUGGUGAGGGGUACUUAACACUUUUCUUUCACUGCUGCUUCACAUAACUAAUCUUCAUCUGUUCAGGGGUUGACAAUGAAAUAUUCCUUCCUUUCUGCUUCUCAGAAGUGCAUCUGCCCCUAGUGUAGACACCGGUAGCUGUUACGGCAGCUGUAACAAGCCCCAGGGAGCACACCAGGUCUGUCCUUCCUUUUCUUAUACUUUUACCUGAAGGAGCAUAGGGUGGUCGGAGCACUCCAGUCGACUUCUGUGCAGCUGUGUUCCAAAGGCAAUGUCUAAUCUGAAGUGAAAAGUUUUGCGUUUUUCUAGAAAGAUUCUCGCUGAUGGAAAAGUUGAGAGCUCACAAUUUUGUACAGCUCAGUGUGAUAUGGUGAGAGUGGUUUGGUGCCAGGAC
This 762-nucleotide long non-coding RNA is filed under the name Struthio camelus australis. RNAcentral describes it as "lncRNA (ENSSCUG00000001074.1)". Lineage: Eukaryota; Metazoa; Chordata; Aves; Struthioniformes; Struthionidae. The record is from RNAcentral.